Molecule: long non-coding RNA, 951 nt
Organism: Acanthopagrus latus (yellowfin seabream)
Lineage: Eukaryota; Metazoa; Chordata; Actinopteri; Spariformes; Sparidae
Exons: 3
Source: RefSeq, a predicted model, not a curated record
UACUCAAUUUAUUUCGGUAAUAGUUUGAUUUGAUAAAAGUUCAUAUUCUGUUUCAAAAUGAAUGUGUUUUUAUGGAUGCAUUCAAUUUGAUGUGAAGUAUGUGUUGUCACUUUGAGAUAGGUUGAAGAGUAGCUACAUGUGCUGUUUUGUUUAUACUAUGUGGGAGAGAGCACAACCUACCUUGUUUAUUUUUUUUGUGAUUGGCUGUUUCUUGAGUCAUGUCACUGUUCAGUGAUUGGGAGGGGGCGGGACAAAGAGAGACCAGGAUGUGGAGGAAAAAAUGGCUUGGGAGAGAGACGAGAAGAGAGACAUGUCGAGACGGUUUUGCAAGUUUGGAGUUGCGGUUACAUUUCAGGCUGUAGAAAAUAGAGCCCAAUAACCUUGCUCUAUGUGAACCCGAGAAUUUAGUGUGAGACGUCGGAGGAGAAAAGAUAUUUCUCCUGCUGCCCCAAGAGUUCGUCAUCAGGGCGUCGGAGGAACACGCCUGCUGCUGCAUGUUUUUCCCGAAGGAGAAAGGACAUUUCUCUUGUAUCCACGAGGGUCAGUAAGCUGAGGGAACGAGACGGUUUGACCUGCCGGUGUGGUGGAUCCAGAGCCUGCGACCUGCUAGCGUCCUGCUCCGCCGCUGCUUCAGCCUUUUGUCCUCUUCCCGCCAUCGCAAAGAGACUGACUUGAACUCGGUUACAAACUAUCUGGUGGACAGCCACUGCUCGAUCUUCUACCUGAAGUCUCUGCCAACAACCUACAGACUGCCUCCACCUGCAGAUUGUUGCAGGAAUCUUCAACUGGAAGUUCCAUGUGCAAAUCUCUGCUAGAAGCCAGAGCCUCCUACCCCCUCCAACAAAUCUGAAUUUUGUAGAACCUUCAUUUAGAACUUCAACCUGCCAGUAUGUGCUAGCAGCCAGAGCCUCCUUACCCCACCAACAGUUCUGGUGGACAACUACAGUGAAG